CGUCUAUAAAAUAAUUGAAAUGUUUACCAAUUUUGUUGACCAUGCUAUGUGACUGCAUUACAAUUCAAUGAACAGGAACUAUUCGAAACUUGGAUCAGUCAUCAAUGUUUGGUAUAAGCAUACAAAUUUGAUACAACCCAGAUAUUCAAGCAUUUUUAUUACACUUUGAAAAUCUGAAAGUAGGUGUAAAAGAUAUAAAAAUAAGGUAGAUACAGUGGAGGUAGACAUUCUGGCAUUGCUUGUCAUAUUACUAAGAUGAUAAACAAAGAUUGUAGUAUAUUUAGCUUCCACAGAGCUUUUCCUAAGAGAAAGAAAAAGAUGCUGUUUUGUGGAGCAUAUAAAAUUGUGCUACCAUGACCAAAUUAUUAACUGUUUUAAAAAGUUUACUAAUUGCUUUUGCAUCAGGAAUGCAUAUAUCAAUUUAAAAUAAAAAUCAUCAAGCAAUUUUAGUCAUAAGUGCUUCUACAUAAUGAGCUUUUACUGACAGUGUUCAGUCCAUUAGUACUAUAGUCUUUGAUGUGUUUAUUUGAAGUAAUUCAGGAUAAGUAAAAUAAAAUAAUACCUACUGUCAAAACCAAUGAGAAAGCUUCAAUUUGGGUAUCAUAAAAACUAGCAAAGUAUCAGACUGAUAGCAAAAUAUGAAAAGUAGUUCUAUUAAUCAUGAUGAAAUAUUCCUUCAAAAUUUUAAAGGAGACCUAGAAGCUGAUGGCUUUUAGUUUUACCUAAUAAUUUUGUAACCUCAUAUGUUUAGAGGUUUAGGAAAAAAUAAAUAAAAUGGAGGGGAAAUUCUACGUAAGGCAGAAUAAAAAACAAAAGUGAAAAGUAAAUGUGGAUUUCCCUGGUUGCUUAGUGGGUUAAGGAUUUGGCAUUGUCACUGCUAGGGUGUGGGUUCCAUCCCCAGCCUGGGAACUUCCUCAGGUUGUGGGUAUGGCCAAAAAAAAAGUAAAUUCAACCAAGAAUAUCAAUAAUUAAGUUUUAAUUUUUAUAGUGAACUUAGUACAGUUGAUCUAUGCAUUGUAAAGACAAUAAAUACUAAUCAUUAGAUUAAUUAAAAGUGGAGUGAAUCAAUGUCUUACUAUGUAGGUACACACUCAAAAUCAUCAAAAUUAUUAUUUUUAUUUUUUCUUUUUUGGCCUUCCCAAGGCAUAUGGACUUCUCAGGCCAGGGAUCAGAUCUAAGCCACAGUUGUGACCUAUGAGCAGCUGCAGCAGUGCUUGAUCCUUAACCCACUGUGCUGGGACGAGGACUGAACCUGUGUUCUAGCAAUCCAACUUGCGUUUCAGCGCUCCAGAGACACCUCUGAUCCCAUUGCAUCACAGUGAGAACUCCAAAAUUAUUUGAUUUUUAUUAUUUUUAAAGUCUGCCUAUUUAUAACUUUACUAUGAUACCUAAGUGGAAAAGAGUCCUGCUUGAAUGAAGGGAAAAUAAACCAUGGGUACUUCAAAACCCAUGGAGGUGUCCGUUCUCCCCUUAUAAGAUUCACUUAGUGAUGCAAGUGUAUUUGAAUGAGAAUACAUUAAAUCUAAGGCCAUUUCGAUAGAAGGCCAAGCUAGGCUUCUGGUUUAAGUAUAAUGACUUGAAUUUAAUAGUAGAGUGAAAUAUAUAUAUUCUAUCUGAUCCGAGGUUACAGAUUUAACCUCAAAAAACAAAACCCACAACCAUCUCCUUUCAAAGAACGAUGUUUUAUCAAUAUCAGUAACAAAAUUUAAAAAUAAAAGGAAUUAUAGUGUCUCAGAAUAAAGAAAAGUGCUUGAAAAACACAUUCCGGAGUUCCUGUCGUGACGCAGUGGUUAACGAAUCCGACUAGGAACCAUGAGGUUGAGGGUUCAAUCCUUAACCCACUGAGGGAGGUCACAGAUGGAACCUGAGCACAACCUCAUGGUUAAUAGUCGGAUUCAUUUCUACUGCACCACAGCAGGAACUCCACAGUUUUUUAUUUUUAAGAGUGAGGGCACCUCUGGAUAAUACUUACACUUUAAAUCGGAAUGGCAUGAAUCAGUUGUAUGAGGGCUGAUGACAUUCCAAUAUACCUUUUCUUACCUACCAUAGGAGGCAACAGUAAGAUUUCUCGCAGUUAGUCGUGGUGUGUUAGUUUGCUCCGACCCACCUAACAAGAUAUCCCAGACUAGGGGACAUAUCAGAAACUUAUUUUUCUUAGAGUUCCAAGAUGCUUAAGUCCAUGAUCAAGACACUGGCAGGAUUUGUUUCUUCUGGGGCCGCUCUUCUUGGCUUGCAGGUGACUGCCCUCUUACUACCUCUUCAUGUGGUUGUCUGUCUGUGUGCACAAGUCUGUGAUAUUUCUUUGUGUGUCCUCAUUUCCUCUGCUUUUAAGGGUACAAAUCAGAUUGGUUAAGACCCACCACAAUGGCCUCACUUUAAUUUAAUCACCUCUUUUAAAGAUUGUUUUCAAAUAUGAGUACAUUUUAAAGUACAUGGGCCUAGAACUUCAACAUAUGAAUUUGGGGGGAAAACAAUUCAGCCCAUCACACAUGAUGCAUAUAAUUUUGUGCUAAAGUUUUAAGCAUUUUCAAAAAAGGGCUUGAAAAUAUUCAUUACAACAUAAUGAACUUUAAUAUGAAACAAGUGAUAUUAAAAUUUAGAGAGUAAUAUAAUCACCUUAUUAAGAAUACUCAUUAAUAUCUGUUCAGUAAUUUAUAAUUUAGAAAGAACCUGUAUAUACAUAUGGAAUAUAUAUAUUCCUCCCAAUAAUUCUGUGGGAUAGGUAAGCUAAAUUACAAUAAAUAUAAAAAUGUGUAACAUUUAUUUUUAAAACCAUCCUGUGUCAGGCAUUGUGCUGGGCAUUUUAUAGAUGUUAUCUCAAUUAAACCUUAUAACUUUUUAUCUCCAUUUUACAUAAAAAGAAAGAAAACUUAGGAUAGGAAAUAGGAAAUAAGUCUUCUUUCCUUACUUGACCUCUUUCUGGCAUUUGAUGCUGUUGAACAUUUUCUUGUAUCUUUGAUUUUAUAACAUUGCACUGUCCCUAUCAUAUGCCUAUAUGUCAGGUGAUUUCUUCUGUUAUUUUUGUGGGUUCUUUACUCUGUCCAUUCUUUGUCCAUAUUUUUAUUAUUCCUAAUGACUUUCUUAACACUUUUCUCCUCUGCUUCAUAUACUUUCAAUGAACUAUCAGAUACCCAUGACUUACUUCCACUGUACAUUAAUGAUGCCCAAAUCUUUUUUUUUUUUUUUUUUUUUUUGGUCUUUUUGCCAUUUCUUGGGCCACUCCCAUGGCAUAUGGAGGUUCCCAGGCUAGGGGUCGAAUCGGAGCUCUAGCCACCGGCCUCUGCCAAAGCCACAGAAAUGUGAGAUCCGAGCCCUGUCUACAACCUACAGCACAGCUUACUGCAACACCAGAGAUCCUUAACCCACUGAGCAAAGUCAGGGAUCGAACCUGCAACCUCAUGGGCCUGCAACACCAGAGAUCCUUACCCCACUGAGCAAAGUCAGGUAUCGAACCUGCAACCUCAUGGGACUGCAACACCAGAGAUCCUUACCCCACUGAGCAAAGUCAGGUAUCGAACCUGCAACCUCAUGGUUCCUAGUCAGAUUCGUUAACCACUGAGCCACGAUGGGAACUCCAAUUCCCAAAUCUCUGUCCCAAUGCUUCGUGUUGAUUUUAGCUUCAAAACGCUCGUUAGAACAAAAAUCUUCCCCAAAACCAUACUAGUUCAGUGAAUGAAAACACCAACCAGCUAGAUGUCUCAGCCAGAUGCCUAGGAGUCAUCUGUCUGUUUGAUUCAACCAAUUUCCCCUUUCCCUAAUGCCUGUUCUCCUCACAAGCCAAUAAAAUGUAAAUUCUUUAGUUCUACCAUCUAAACAUCUGUUACAUUUAUCACUGUUAUUGAUUCUCAUGGCCACUUUUCCUAAUUUUUUUCCUCUAGUACAUUUUACCCUUAUUCCUUACUGGAAUUACUGCCAUAGUCUCCUAAAAAGUGUUCUGGUCUCUACUCUUAACCUGUUUAACUCAUUAGUCACAGUUGCUCUCAGAAUAACUUUUAAAAAUGCACACUGAGGUAUAUGGAAUGAUUGGCCAAUGAGGACCUGCUAUAUAGCAUAGAGACCUCUACCCAAUAUUCUGUGAUAAUCCAUGUGGGAAAUGAAUCUAAGAGAGAAUGGAUAUGUGUAUAUGUAUGAUUGGGUUACUUUGUUGUACAGUAGAAAUUAUCACAAUCUUACAAAUUAACUAUUCACUAAAACUAAAAAAAUGAAAAUCUCUGUAACUUAGAGGUUUAAAAUACGUUGCUCUUAAAACAAAGUCCAGACUCCUUUAAGUGGCUACCCAGCUCUGUUUAAAUGUCUGAUCACUUUCCAUUCCUUUCUUUACAUACAUGAGAACCAACUAUACAACAUGUAAGCAUACACUCUUGCUCUGACUCUUUGCCUUUUCAUGCAUUUCUCUUUCAUGGUGCAUUUCCAACCCAGUUCUCCCUCCACCAGGCUCAUCUUUCUAUUCUCAGGUUGGUCUCCAAUUUCUUCUCAGCUCUUCUUUAAUUCCAGAUUAUAUUGAAAUGUUCCUACUUUGUAUACUUCACCUUUUAAAUGCUUUUGGCUUUCUAAUUUCCUGUUUUUCUGUCUUUACCUUAUAUGAAUUAUAUUCUUAAGGAUUAUAAGCCUUGUGAGGGUGGUAAGCAUGUGAAUUUUAUUCAUCAUUAAGUCCCCAGCACUUAGAACAGUGCCAGGCACAUAAAUGCUUAAUAAAUAUUCCAUGAAUGAAUUAAUAAAAGUAAGUAAUGUGCCAUAAUAAAAUUAUAAUUAAAAGGAACAUUUACUUCAGUUUGAGGAUUAAUAUCCAAUAUGUAAAGUGUUUUAUAUACAUGUAAUCAUGACAGUUCUCCGAAUAGAAUUGUUGUUUUAUACAUAAGAAGAUUGAAACAUAAAAAAAUUAAAUGACUUGCCUAAAUUAAAAAGUAAUGGGAUAUAACAAAAAAUUGAAUUCCAGUCCCCAACUUCUGGUCUAAUGUUACCUUCACUAUAGCUCACUGGCUAAAAUUUGGAAGUGCUCAAAGUACAAAAUUUGCAUACAUUGUUCCAUUGGAGAAGUUUAUAUAAUGCACAAACUAGUAUGGCUGAUGAUUACUACCAAGAAUAAAACAAGAAUAAUAGUUAUCAUUCAUUGAAUGUUCACUGUGUUAUGGACUAUUUGUCCUUUAAUUGAUGACUAUUUGAACAGAAUUGCUUUUUGACUCAACUCCUCACUAAGAUACAUUGCACAAAUGUAUUUGUCUUCAUUGUGAGAAGAAAACAGACAACACACACUUCACUUCUACAGAAUAUAAAACAUCUAGUAUUUGGGUUAGCUAAUUUAUGACUACUCUUUGAGCCUCAUUGUAAUUCAGCUGCAGUUCUUCAGUGGGAGAAUCCUCAUGCUGUGGAAAUAUGUUUUAUUCUUUAACCAAGCUUCAUUUGAGAAUUUAGGUUGGGGGUGGGGAAUUAAAAAUUUCAAAUUGUAAAGGCACUAUGUAGUUAAGAAUUGUCACCCAGAAAUAUUAGAAGUAGGGAUUCCAAGCCAUCUUUGAGGGUUUUUUUUUUUUUUCAUCACUUAAUUUCUUGAUACUUUACUUACCAGUGGAGUAAGUAUUCUUCAGGGAGAUAUUUAGUUACAUAAUGAAUAUUGGUACAGUCCUUAAACUCAUUGUUUUAUAGAAUGAGGUUGUAAUCCUUAUCUUCCUAUUCAUAGCAUGUGUGGGAAGUAUAUUUUAUUAGAAAAGGGACAGUCUGAAGACCAUCUUUGUUUCCUGUUGGGGCAUUUCCAGAUUGGAUGAAAUCUGAGAAGAGCCAUCUGUUGAAUAUUUAGUAUUCAGAACAGUAGAACUACUCCUGGCAUCUGGUUUUGCCAAGACCUAGCUAAAAAUAAAUAUUAGAUGGAACUUGCUUCUUUUUUGCGUUGGUUUUGAACUCUCUUAGAAGUGGUUGUAAAUUCCCAAGGGAAAGAAAUAGAGCAAAAAGAAAUGUAAGCAGUUAAUUUUCAUUGUCAUCCACAAAAUAUUAGGUUGAAUUUUAGGAUCAAAUAUGCUAAGACUUUUCUACUUUCAUUUCUUUGUCUCGCCUAUUUUUUAUAAGUUGUUAUGAAAUAAUGAUUACCAGUUACUAAUGAUAAUAUCACAGCCACCUCAUCCAAACACACAUCCAAACACACACACACACAUACACACACACACACACACACAAACCCCUACCUUUUUCAGUCAUGUACUAAGUUGCAAUCCCAUGGUAAAAUAAUAAAAUUUUCAAAUUAUACUAUUUUGCUGGCUCUUGGGAAAGUAUUUUUCAUAUUUAACCUAUAAUCAUUGGUACAGUGUCUUAGCUGUCAUCCAGCAUUGACAGAACCCCUCCAACAUUAGUGCUCUAUUAAUAAGAAUGUCCCACCAGAUUUGAAGUUACAUAAUAAAGAGAUAAACUCAAUUAAAACAUUUUAUAUAGGUUAAUAAAUAUUAAUUAAAUUUGUUCUCUACAUCUUAUUUGAUGAAGAAAAUAUUAAGAAGUUUCAUAGAAAUUAUCUGCUCUCUAGGAGCCAGUAGGUCAGUUU
This 6523-nucleotide long non-coding RNA is filed under the name Sus scrofa (pig). RNAcentral describes it as "lncRNA (ENSSSCG00030026851.1)". Lineage: Eukaryota; Metazoa; Chordata; Mammalia; Artiodactyla; Suidae. The record is from RNAcentral.